Non-coding RNA from Acanthosepion pharaonis, 113 nucleotides. NCBI's taxonomy places the organism in Eukaryota, Metazoa, Mollusca, Cephalopoda, Sepiida, Sepiidae. The record is from the annotation of a GenBank genome assembly.
UUAUGGCCAUAUCACAUUGAAACACUGGUUCUCAUAUAAUCACUGAAGGUAAGCAAUGUUGAGCCUGGUCAGUACUAGGCCAGUGACUACUUGGGAAUACCAAGUGCUGUAAG